UAGCUCAGGGGUAGAGCAUUCGACUGCAGAUCGAGAGGUCUCUGGUUCAAACCCGGN
This 57-nucleotide transfer RNA is filed under the name Trichonephila inaurata madagascariensis. It matches the Rfam family "tRNA", at positions 8 to 63 of the family's 71-position model. From Rfam's summary of the family: Transfer RNA (tRNA) molecules are approximately 80 nucleotides in length. Their secondary structure includes four short double-helical elements and three loops (D, anti-codon, and T loops). Lineage: Eukaryota; Metazoa; Arthropoda; Arachnida; Araneae; Nephilidae. The record is from Rfam by way of RNAcentral.